GAUGAACGCUGGCGGCGUGCCUAAUACAUGCAAGUCGAGCGAACAGAUGAGGAGCUUGCUCCUCUGACGUUAGCGGCGGACGGGUGAGUAACACGUGGAUAACCUACCUAUAAGACUGGGAUAACUUCGGGAAACCGGAGCUAAUACCGGAUAAUAUAUUGAACCGCAUGGUUCAAUAGUGAAAGACGGUUUUGCUGUCACUUAUAGAUGGAUCCGCGCCGCAUUAGCUAGUUGGUAAGGUAACGGCUUACCAAGGCAACGAUGCGUAGCCGACCUGAGAGGGUGAUCGGCCACACUGGAACUGAGACACGGUCCAGACUCCUACGGGACGCAGCAGUAGGGAAUCUUCCGCAAUGGGCGAAAGCCUGACGGAGCAACGCCGCGUGAGUGAUGAAGGUCUUCGGAUCGUAAAGCUCUGUUAUUGGGGAAGAACAAAUGUGUAAGUAACUAUGCCCGUCUUGACGGUACCUAAUCAGAAAGCCACGGCUAACUACGUG
This 497-nucleotide ribosomal RNA is filed under the name uncultured bacterium. Its description in RNAcentral is "partial 16S ribosomal RNA". It matches the Rfam family "Bacterial small subunit ribosomal RNA", at positions 28 to 507 of the family's 1533-position model. The record is from RNAcentral.